AGAGUGAACGCUGGCGGCAGUCCUAACACAUGCAAGUCGAACGGCAGCACAGAGGAGCUUGCUCCUUGGGUGGCGAGUGGCGGACGGGUGAGGAAUACGUCGGAAUCUGCCUAUUUGUGGGGGAUAACGUAGGGAAACUUACGCUAAUACCGCAUACGACCUACGGGUGAAAGCGGAGGACCUUCGGGCUUCGCGCAGAUAGAUGAGCCGACGUCGGAUUAGCUAGUUGGCGGGGUAAAGCCCACCAAGGCGACGAUCCGUAGCUGGUCUGAGAGGAUGAUCAGCCACACUGGAACUGAGACACGGUCCAGACUCCUACGGGAGGCAGCAGGUGGGAAUAGUUGGACAAGUGGGCGCAAGCCUGAUCCAGCCAUGCCGCGUGUGUGAAGAGGUCCUUGGUUAGUAA
This 406-nucleotide ribosomal RNA is filed under the name uncultured soil bacterium. RNAcentral's name for it is "bacterial SSU rRNA". It matches the Rfam family "Bacterial small subunit ribosomal RNA", at positions 26 to 428 of the family's 1533-position model. The record is from RNAcentral.